Long non-coding RNA from Trifolium pratense (red clover), 2675 nucleotides. RefSeq lists it as uncharacterized. Lineage: Eukaryota; Viridiplantae; Streptophyta; Magnoliopsida; Fabales; Fabaceae. The transcript is spliced from 3 exons. The record is from RefSeq and is a predicted model, not a curated record.
GUCUCUACAUUUAUGCUGUUUAAUUGAUUUAAGCAAACAAUUUUAUAGCAAUUGAAAUAAAAUGCACUGUAGGUGUCUGAUAAAAUGUCCAUGAGGAACCUUGUGAUAGUUACAAUAGAACUAUGUGAAUCACUAUGUAACUUAUUGGUUUUUUCCCCUUAUAUCUCCAUUGUUGAUAGUUUAUAAAUACCUCAUAACAGCCCAAGUUUUGCGACUCCAAAAUUAAUGCAACUCAAGCAGCUCUAGUGGAUCACUAGAGGUGAUGCAAUGGCAAAAAUGUAUAUAGGAUUUUGGAGGUGUUUGCUUCACUUCUUUAUUAUUUUUUUAUCUUACAGCUGAGAUAGGUGUGGAAAGGUAUUCAUUGUGCUAUUGUUCAUUUUCGUUUUAGAUAUUUCUAACCCUUUUUGCACUGGGUUUUUAUUUUUCAUAAAUUGUGUUUCUGCAAAGUUCCUGGCCACUGCAUUUUUUCCUUUAUUUUCAGGUCCUGUUUUUCCUUGGUUCAAUAUUCAACAUGGUAUUUUUUUUUUUUAAUCUGAUUUGAAGUUGAUAUAGUCCAGACCAAUUUUUUUUUUGAUUGGAUAGUCCUGACCAAUUUGAAGAAAAUGAUGUAAUGUGGUUUUUUGUAUAAAACCUUUUGUUGAUUUUUUCCUGAUUUGGUUGGUUUGUUUCUUAGGCUGAGUAUGUGAACCUUGAUACACUGUGGGUUACUCAUCCUUAAGUGGAUUUUUCACACGAUAUAUUUAAUUUUCGUAUAUGUUUGUGUGCAUAAUGAUCUGUGUUAGUUUUUGUGUAGCUUGGGAUUCAAACACACUUUUACAUGGAUAGGUCGAUUUCCUGUUUCUUGUGUAGCUUGUGACCCUUCUAAUAUUAUUUGAGGUUCUGUGCUUAAAGCUUUUGGAGGCAAAAUUUGCCUUUUCUUACAUUGCAUUUAAGUAUGCAGACAGCUUUGACUUGUUUACCUGUUCAAUUUCUUGUUUUUUUGUCUCUUCACUUUAUAUGAGCUUUGACAAUUUAGUUGCACAAUCUUUGGUCUUUUGUACAGUGUUUAAAAAGAUUGAAGCUUGAACAUCAAUUCAUUUGAUUCAUGUGAUCAAUCAAUAAAAUGUUUUGUUGAUGCUGAAAUUAAAUGUUUAGUUUUACAAAACAAUUGAAAACUUUUAAUGUGUAAACAUAAUAUUUUUAUUUCUAAUCAAUUAUGUCAUCUUCCUCCAAGGAAUAUGUCAGCUUGGUCUGACUGAAGUAAUCCAGAGUUGCUUAAAACAUUUUUGUAAUAUGUGUUAUCAAAUGUGUUUGUAGUGACAGGUUCUAACGGAGCCAAAUUGGUGUCGGAAUCGGCUUGAUUUGGACAUAUUUUCUGUAAAUUUUGUAGAAGGGAUUAAUCAAGUGAUGGAUCAGAUUUUCCAGAGCUACCAAAAUCAAAGAGCCUGUUCUUGAAUGUAAAGCAAUGAUCAAAGUUGUAUCAUUGUUUAGAGUCAUAAGUUUUCACAGGUUUAGUGCAGGUUAAGCAAAAAUCAGAUACCUUAUAUAAUUUUGAUGGUGGCUAUAUGUCACAUACCUUAUACAAUUUUGAUGGUUGAUUCUAUCGGAUUGACCUUUCCUUUAACCUUUUUAUAAUAAAACGUGUGGAGAUUGAUUCAAAUCAUGAUUAACCACUUACUGAGAUUGAAAGCUGAGAGAUUGAUCUUGAUAUUGGUUUUUUGUUGGUUUUUUUGUGGCAAUGAAAUGAGUUUUGUGUUAACAUGGUGAUGAUGGAAUUGCAUGAGUGUUAACAUUGGUUUUUUGAUAUUAUUCAUCAUGUUAUUAGCAUGAAGGAACGUUGUACUGAUAUAAUUUUUUCCUUCCUGUGGCAUACCUUGUGCUGCUAGGUGUAACUCUACCUAAGUAUAAGGCCUACUACUUAUAUGAGGUUAUCACUUAAUAUUUGUGAGAGUUCUAUCACCCCAUGUUAUUACUUAUAAAGUCAAUUUAAGUUUCUUUUUGCAACACCAAGAAGCUUCAUUUCUAAGUUUUUCUACCGAGUUAUUUUUGUGUAGGUGUUUAGCAUUACAUGUUUUUAGUAAGAGAGCCAAUGAUUUUGUGAAUGAAGUAUCAUAAAACGCACAAUAACCAAGCUAAGAGAUGUACACCAAAAUCAUAUAUAUUCAGCUCCUUAUGAGUCAUUUCAAAAUAAAUUGGGAUUCUUGUCAUUUUUCUUUGUUAAACUAUGUAGGAAUAAUGUUUUCAUUGUAAGUUUAUAUCCCACACAUGCUUUUGAAAUUCAAUUGUAGUUUGGUUUGAUUAAACUGUUGCUCAGGUUACAUGAAAAGAUUAAAAUUAUCUAAAGAUUUUAACCAUUCCACCAUCUAGUGAAUAACUUGAGUUGUAUAAUUACUUAAACUGCCUUGGGUCUAGGCUGGACUGAGUUUUGUGAAGAAAAUGAAUUUUGCGCCGGAGAUGCUCUUUGUUUUAAGUUUAAUAUCUUGUCUCGUCCAUCUUUUGCUCGCUCGCGUUUUUAAAAUAUGACGGUGUUUGUUUGUAUUUAUACUGGUGACAAUUUAGGGCCGGAUUUGUCUCCUAAAUGUAGAUACUUGAAUGUAUGUCUUAAGUUAAAAAACCUUGUCAUGUUCUGGAAAGUAUUUUGUUGUGGUUGUGUUCUGGAAUAUCCCGUGACUAAACCUGGUUAAUUUAACUGCUUA